RNAcentral lists this ribosomal RNA (468 nucleotides) under uncultured bacterium. Its description in RNAcentral is "partial 16S ribosomal RNA". It matches the Rfam family "Bacterial small subunit ribosomal RNA", at positions 28 to 507 of the family's 1533-position model. The record is from RNAcentral.
GACGAACGCUGGCGGCGUGCUUAACACAUGCAAGUCGAACGGAAAGGCCCUGCUUUUGUGGGGUGCUCGAGUGGCGAACGGGUGAGUAACACGUGAGUAACCUGCCCUUGACUUUGGGAUAACUUCAGGAAACUGGGGCUAAUACCGGAUAGGAGCUCCUGCUGCAUGGUGGGGGUUGGAAAGUUUCGGCGGUUUGGGGUGGACUCGGGGCUUAUCAGCUUGUUGGUGGGGUAGUGGCUUACCAAGGCUUUGACGGGUAGCCGGCCUGGGAGGGUGACCGGGCACAAUGGGACUGCGGUACGGACCAGACUGCAACGGGGGGCAACGGUGGGGAAUAUUGCACAAUGGGGCGGAGCCUGAGGCAACAACGCCCCGGGCGGGAAGAACGCCUUCGGGGUGGGAACCGCUUUCGGCUGUGACCAAGCGGGAGUGACGGUAAUGGGUAAAGAAGCACCGGCUAACUACGUG